Potamilus streckersoni is the source of this 73-nucleotide non-coding RNA. NCBI's taxonomy places the organism in Eukaryota, Metazoa, Mollusca, Bivalvia, Unionida, Unionidae. The record is from the annotation of a GenBank genome assembly.
GCUCCUGUGGCCUAGUGGUUAUAGUAUUCGCCUCGGGUACGUGAGGUUGUGGGUUCGAUCCCCGGUUGAGUCA